AGAUAAAAAGUUAAAAACUUUAAAAAAACCUCAACACUCACUCUUCUUUCCUAUUCUCUCUCUACAGCUUCAUCUCAAAGCAAAAAUAAACCUAAAAAGGGUUUCGCUUUCAUUUCGCACUCUCAAUUCUUCUCAUUUUUCUAAAAAUCAUUUCAAGAAAAUUGUACAAUUGGCUUCAGUUCAGCUUCUUCUUUAUAAAGAUAGUCGCUUUAUUAUCAUCCGUGGAAAAAAAUAGUUCUGGGUUUUUUCUGAUCUGAGCUUUCGAUUUAGGAGAAAGGCUUUUAGUUGUUCUCCCUUUUACAUGGAGAAAAGUAUCAUAGCAGUGAAAGGAACUUCUCAAGCAAGCGAUAUCAAUACUUCUGUGUCGAAAUCCUCGGAUCGGUCAUACAAAUUGAAUCAAUAUCUAUAGACCUUGAUAUUCCUAUGCCGAAGAAAGAGGAAGGGAACUGCCAGCAUUUUUCAAUACGUGGAUAUGUUGCUGAGAUGA
This is a long non-coding RNA of Nicotiana attenuata, 487 nucleotides long. RefSeq lists it as uncharacterized. The transcript has 3 exons. Lineage: Eukaryota; Viridiplantae; Streptophyta; Magnoliopsida; Solanales; Solanaceae. The record is from RefSeq and is a predicted model, not a curated record.